RNAcentral lists this ribosomal RNA (485 nucleotides) under Leptonetidae gen. 1 sp. 1 HZ-2020. RNAcentral describes it as "partial large subunit ribosomal RNA". It matches the Rfam family "Eukaryotic large subunit ribosomal RNA", at positions 593 to 1017 of the family's 3401-position model. The record is from RNAcentral. Lineage: Eukaryota; Metazoa; Arthropoda; Arachnida; Araneae; Leptonetidae.
GCCGACGCAUUUCCUCCCGUUCUGGGACGCCGCAGCCGGUCGGAUUGAAGUGGGCUCGCACAGGCCGGGAGAAGACGAUCGUGAGCAUGGUGCGCGGUGGGAGGAUACGGCUGGCGGCGAGUAAGUCGGUAACCCACCCGACCCGUCUUGAAACACGGACCAAGGAGUCUGACGUGUGCGCGAGUCAUUGGGUCUUGACCAGGCCCAAAGGCGAAAUGAAAGUAAGGUCGUGAUGCCGCGGCCGCAACGACGGCCCGCCCGGUGCUUGAGCGUACAUGUUGGUACCCGAAAGAUGGUGAACUAUGCCCGGUCAGGGCGAAGUCAGAGGAAACUCUGAUGGAGGCUCGUAGCGCUUCUGACGUGCAAAUCGAUUGCGAGAACCGGGUAUAGCGGCGAAAGACCAAUCGAACCAUCUAGUAGCUGGUUCCCUCCGAAGUUUCCCUCAGGAUAGCUGGCGCUCAUGGAGUCAGGCAUGUUAAAGCGAA